CCUACGGGUGGCUGCAGUGAGGAAUAUUGGUCAAUGGGCGCAAGCCUGAACCAGCCAUCCCGCGUGCAGGAAGACGGCCCUAUGGGUUGUAAACUGCUUUUCCAGGGGACGAAUAGUUUCUACGUGUAGAGACCUGACGGUACCUUGGGAAUAAGCAUCGGCUAACUCCGUGCCAGCAGCCGCGGUAAUACGGAGGAUGCAGGAUUCAUCCGGAUUCAUUGGGUUUAAAGGGUGCGUAUAAGGAUGCGGUGAAAUCCUACAGCUUAACUGUAGAACUGCCAUUGAUACUGUUAGUCUUGAGUUUGGUUAAGGUAGGCGGAAUGUGUAAUGUAGCGGUGAAAUGCUUAGAUAUUACACAGAACACCAAUUGCGAAGGCAGCUUACUGGACCGACACUGACGCUGAGGCACGAAAGCGUGGGGAUCGAACAGGAUUAGAUACCCCAGUAGUC
Molecule: ribosomal RNA, 450 nt
Filed under: uncultured bacterium
Lineage: Bacteria
Description: partial 16S ribosomal RNA
Rfam family: Bacterial small subunit ribosomal RNA
Source: RNAcentral